This 228-nucleotide ribosomal RNA is filed under the name uncultured Lactobacillus sp. RNAcentral's name for it is "partial 16S ribosomal RNA". It matches the Rfam family "Bacterial small subunit ribosomal RNA", at positions 134 to 354 of the family's 1533-position model. Lineage: Bacteria; Bacillati; Bacillota; Bacilli; Lactobacillales; Lactobacillaceae. The record is from RNAcentral.
GAGAUCGGGAUAACACCUGGAAACAGAUGCUAAUACCGGAUAACAACAGAUGAUGCCUAUCAACUGUUUAAAAGAUGGUUCUGCUAUCACUCUUGGAUGGACCUGCGGUGCAUUAGCUAGUUGGUAGGGUAACGGCCUACCAAGGCGAUGAUGCAUAGCCGAGUUGAGAGACUGAUCGGCCACAUUGGGACUGAGACACGGCCCAAACUCCUACGGGAGGCAGCAGAC